Molecule: ribosomal RNA, 653 nt
Filed under: uncultured Bacilli bacterium
Lineage: Bacteria; Bacillati; Bacillota; Bacilli
Description: bacterial SSU rRNA
Rfam family: Bacterial small subunit ribosomal RNA
Source: RNAcentral
AAGAGAGGAGCUUGCUCUUCUUGGAUGAGUUGCGAACGGGUGAGUAACGCGUAGGUAACCUGCCUUGUAGCGGGGGAUAACUAUUGGAAACGAUAGCUAAUACCGCAUAACAAUGGAUGACACGUGUCAUUUAUUUGAAAGGGGCAAUUGCUCCACUACAAGAUGGACCUGCGUUGUAUUAGCUAGUAGGUGAGGUAACGGCUCACCAAGGCGACGAUACAUAGCCGACCUGAGAGGGUGAUCGGCCACACUGGGACUGAGACACGGCCCAGACUCCUACGGGAGGCAGCAGUAGGGAAUCUUCGGCAAUGGACGGAAGUCUGACCGAGCAACGCCGCGUGAGUGAAGAAGGUUUUCGGAUCGUAAAGCUCUGUUGUAAGAGAAGAACGAGUGUGAGAGUGGAAAGUUCACACUGUGACGGUAUCUUACCAGAAAGGGACGGCUAACUACGUGCCAGCAGCCGCGGUAAUACGUAGGUCCCGAGCGUUAUCCGGAUUUAUUGGGCGUAAAGCGAGCGCAGGCGGUUAGAUAAGUCUGAAGUUAAAGGCUGUGGCUUAACCAUAGUACGCUUUGGAAACUGUUUAACUUGAGUGCAAGAGGGGAGAGUGGAAUUCCAUGUGUAGCGGUGAAAUGCGUAGAUAUAUGGAGGAACA